AAAAACUGUUUCUGUAGUAUAUUUUGAAAUUUACUUUUAAGUGAGAAGGCUUAAAUAUUUCAAAGGGACGAUAAGACCCUAUAAAGCUUUAUAUGUUGAUUAUAUUUGAUUGAUUUGUAUGAAAUAAUUAUUAAAUUUAAUCGUCUUAUUUUGUUGGGGUGACAUGAGUAUAAUUAUAAUUAACUGCUUAAUAAUAAUACAAUUAUUGUUGAAUAAAUAUUAUAUGAUCCUUUUUAGAGAUUAAAAGACUAAGUUACUUUAGGGAUAACAGUGUUAUUUUUUUUGAGAGCUCAUAUCGAAAAGAAAGAUUGCAACCUCGAUGUUGAAUUAAAAUAUCUAUAUAAUGCAGGAGUUAUAUUAGAAG
RNAcentral lists this ribosomal RNA (364 nucleotides) under Nanocassiope alcocki. Its description in RNAcentral is "partial 16S ribosomal RNA". Lineage: Eukaryota; Metazoa; Arthropoda; Malacostraca; Decapoda; Xanthidae. The record is from RNAcentral.